GAGUUUUUAGUCCAGUGAGAGACUCUUAAAGACUCCAAGAGGAAGUCUCUAUGUAAAAUUUUGUCACUUCACUUCUGACUCUUGCCUGAUUCUAGAGGAUUGGGUCUUCAUUUUCCAAUAGGAUGUUUUUCUUAUGUUCUGAAACUGCUUUUCCAUAUUUUGAGUCAGCUACUGAGAAAGUAUCCUAAACACUUACAUAUAAAGAAAAGCAGUUUAUUACUGAAGAUAAGAUAGGAAUACUACAUCAAGCAAGGCAAUGAAGAAAAUAACAUGUCUUAAAGAGAUAGCUGAAGGUGAUGUGGAGAAUGAAUUGGAGGUUAUGUUAGGGACAAGAAACCAGUUAAAAGACCGUGGUGGUAACCCACCUGCUUUAUUGUAAGGACCUGAGCUAAGACAGUAUGAAAGUAAGAAAAGUCCUUGGUGGCUCCUUUCACCAUAAUCCUUUCUACACUCCUGUAGUACAACUAAGGAAAGGGUCAGUGACUGGUUUGGAAUUGCUUUUUUUACAGAGGGACUGAAAAAUACAAGGAAUAAUCAGUUUACUCUUUAAACAUAGAGCCAAUUCUAUCAAGUUGUAUCUUUUCUGGUUCCUUUCUUACUUUUAACUUUUGUUCUGCAGCUUUCACAUUGAUUCUAUGAGCUCCCUGAUAAAUUCUUGCUUUUGCUUUAGGUAACCCAAACUGGUUCCUAGGGCUUACCAUCAAAAAACCCAAGUUGAGGCCCAGGCACAGUGGCACAGGUGGUAGGAACACCACUGUGUGAUACUGGAGCCACAUAGGAAGUCAAGGUUCAGAUCCUGGUCAUCUUGAACGUGCUGGACAUGCCAUGUGCACCUAGGAUCCUAUCUGACUGGGAAGCUAGAGGGAGCAUUGUGGCCUGUGGGGAUGACCUGACCGUGUUUGAAAAUAGAAGGGCAUCAAAUAAGCCUUUAAAAAGAGGGUGAACACUUCUGAGGAUUAAAACAAGGAAAUCUGAUAAGGUGACCAUGCUCUGGGAUUUUCAUAGUUUGAGUAAUUCUUAUGGGCUCUGCCACCCAGCAAGUUAAAGAAGACAAGAUUCUUCCCAGGGGGUUGUGGUUCUGGGAAUGUGAGCAGCUUGUUUUCAUGAGAUUUGCACCUUGAUCUGGCCUGCUGUUAGGAGCUGCAGUGGUUGUGUUUGUGUUGUUUUUAGUUUUUUUUUUUCCUUCCAUUUUACAUAGAUUUUUGUAAAUUAUUUGUAUAUAAAGAAUUUUUAAAAGUGAAUAUUUUAUGAGGAUGUUUGCUUAUAC
This is a long non-coding RNA of Tupaia belangeri chinensis (Chinese tree shrew), 1267 nucleotides long. RefSeq lists it as uncharacterized. NCBI's taxonomy places the organism in Eukaryota, Metazoa, Chordata, Mammalia, Scandentia, Tupaiidae. The transcript has 3 exons. The record is from RefSeq and is a predicted model, not a curated record.